RNAcentral lists this ribosomal RNA (254 nucleotides) under uncultured bacterium. RNAcentral describes it as "partial 16S ribosomal RNA". It matches the Rfam family "Bacterial small subunit ribosomal RNA", at positions 524 to 777 of the family's 1533-position model. The record is from RNAcentral.
CACGUAGGGCGCAAGCGUUGUCCGGAAUUAUUGGGCGUAAAGAGCUCGUAGGUGGUUUGUUACGUCCGCUGUGAAAUCCUAGGGCUUAACCCUGGGCUUGCAGUGGAUACGGGCAGACUAGAGGUAGGUAGGGGAGAAUGGAAUUCCUGGUGUAGCGGUGAAAUGCGCAGAUAUCGGGAAGAACACCCGUGGCGAAGGCGGCUCUCUGGGACGGUACUGACGCUGAGACGCGAAAGCGUGGGGAGCGAACGAGG